AUAUUGGACAAUGGGCGCAAGCCUGAUCCAGCCAUGCCGCGUGAGUGAUGACGGCCCUAGGGUUGUAAAGCUCUUUUGUCCGGGAAGAUAAUGACUGUACCGCAAGAAUAAGCCCCGGCUAACUUCGUGCCAGCAGCCGCGGUAAUACGAAGGGGGCUAGCGUUGCUCGGAAUCACUGGGCGUAAAGCGCACGUAGGCGGACUCUUAAGUCGGUGGUGAAAUCCUGGAGCUCAACUCCAGAACUGCCUUCGAUACUGGGAGUCUCGAGUUCGGGAGAGGUGAGUGGAACUGCGAGUGUAGAGGUGAAAUUCGUAGAUAUUCGCAAGAACACCAGUGGCGAAGGCGGCUCACUGGCCCGAUACUGACGCUGAGGUGCGAAAGCGUGGGGAGCAAACAGG
This 398-nucleotide ribosomal RNA is filed under the name uncultured bacterium. RNAcentral describes it as "bacterial SSU rRNA". It matches the Rfam family "Bacterial small subunit ribosomal RNA", at positions 361 to 776 of the family's 1533-position model. The record is from RNAcentral.